AAAGACUCUACCAGGUCAGCCUGCCCGGUGAAAAAUUUAACGGCCACGGUUACCCUAACCGUGCGAAGGUAGCAUAAUCACUUGUUCUCUAAAUGGGGACUUGUAUCAACGGCAUCACGAGGGUUACACUGUCUCCUUUCUCCAAUCAGUGAAACUGAUCUCCCCGUGAAGAAGCGGGGAUAAGAAUAUAAGACGAGAAGACCCCAUGGAGCUUUAAGCUCAACAACACCUCUACAAUAUACCCCCUCUUAAACUACGAGACCUGUCUGUUAGCUUUAGGUUGGGGUGACCGCGGAGUAUAAUAUAACCUCCACGACUGACGGGACUAACCCCUUAUCCAAGAGCCACUGCUCUAAGAAUCAUUAAUUUGAUGUAAAAUGAUCCGUUCUUCGAUCAACGAACCAAGUUACCCUGGGGAUAACAGCGCAAUCUACUUCAAGAGCUCCUAUCGACAAGUAGGUUUACGACCUCGAUGUUGGAUCAGGGUAUCCUAGUGGUGCAGCCGCUACUAAAGGUUCGUUUGUUCAACGAUUAAAACCCUACGUGAUCUGUUU
RNAcentral lists this ribosomal RNA (554 nucleotides) under Arthroleptella landdrosia (Landdros moss frog). RNAcentral describes it as "partial 16S ribosomal RNA". It matches the Rfam family "Bacterial large subunit ribosomal RNA", at positions 1836 to 2610 of the family's 2925-position model. The record is from RNAcentral. Lineage: Eukaryota; Metazoa; Chordata; Amphibia; Anura; Pyxicephalidae.